Molecule: ribosomal RNA, 708 nt
Filed under: Vreelandella aquamarina
Lineage: Bacteria; Pseudomonadati; Pseudomonadota; Gammaproteobacteria; Oceanospirillales; Halomonadaceae
Description: bacterial SSU rRNA
Rfam family: Bacterial small subunit ribosomal RNA
Source: RNAcentral
GCGGUGAAAUGCGUAGAGAUCGGGAGGAAUACCAGUGGCGAAGGCGGUUUCUGGACUGACACUGACACUGAGGUGCGAAAGCGUGGGUAGCAAACAGGAUUAGAUACCCUGGUAGUCCACGCCGUAAACGAUGUCGACCAGCCGUUGGGUGCCUAGCGCACUUUGUGGCGAAGUUAACGCGAUAAGUCGACCGCCUGGGGAGUACGGCCGCAAGGUUAAAACUCAAAUGAAUUGACGGGGGCCCGCACAAGCGGUGGAGCAUGUGGUUUAAUUCGAUGCAACGCGAAGAACCUUACCUACUCUUGACAUCCUGCGAAUUUGGUAGAGAUACCUUAGUGCCUUCGGGAACGCAGAGACAGGUGCUGCAUGGCUGUCGUCAGCUCGUGUUGUGAAAUGUUGGGUUAAGUCCCGUAACGAGCGCAACCCUUGUCCUUAUUUGCCAGCGCGUAAUGGCGGGAACUCUAAGGAGACUGCCGGUGACAAACCGGAGGAAGGUGGGGACGACGUCAAGUCAUCAUGGCCCUUACGAGUAGGGCUACACACGUGCUACAAUGGUCGGUACAAAGGGUUGCCAACUCGCGAGAGUGAGCCAAUCCCGAAAAGCCGAUCUCAGUCCGGAUCGGAGUCUGCAACUCGACUCCGUGAAGUCGGAAUCGCUAGUAAUCGUGGAUCAGAAUGCCACGGUGAAUACGUUCCCGGGCCUUGUAC